CUUUUAGUGGCUGACAAAAGCAUUGGUCUCUUAAACCAAAAAAUGAUCUUAUCCUAAAAG
This 60-nucleotide transfer RNA is filed under the name Unionicola foili. RNAcentral describes it as "tRNA-Lys". Lineage: Eukaryota; Metazoa; Arthropoda; Arachnida; Trombidiformes; Unionicolidae. The record is from RNAcentral.